RNAcentral lists this ribosomal RNA (253 nucleotides) under uncultured bacterium. RNAcentral's name for it is "partial 16S ribosomal RNA". It matches the Rfam family "Bacterial small subunit ribosomal RNA", at positions 524 to 776 of the family's 1533-position model. The record is from RNAcentral.
UACGUAGGUGGCAAGCGUUGUCCGGAUUUACUGGGCGUAAAGAGCGCGCAGGCGGUCGUUCAAGUCGCGUGUGAAAGCCCCCAGCUCAACUGGGGAGGGUCACGCGAUACUGAUCGACUCGAAGGCAGGAGAGGGAAGUGGAAUUCCCGGUGUAGUGGUGAAAUGCGUAGAUAUCGGGAGGAACACCAGUGGCGAAGGCGACUUCCUGGCCUGUUCUUGACGCUGAGGCGCGAAAGCUAGGGGAGCAAACGGG